Molecule: ribosomal RNA, 224 nt
Filed under: uncultured bacterium
Lineage: Bacteria
Description: partial 16S ribosomal RNA
Rfam family: Bacterial small subunit ribosomal RNA
Source: RNAcentral
UACGUAGGGUGCAAGCGUUGUCCGGAAUUAUUGGGCGUAAAGAGCUUGUAGGCGGUUUUGUCGCGUCUGCUGUGAAAAUCCGGGGCUCAACCCCGGACUUGCAGUGGGUACGGGCAGACUAGAGUGUGGGUAGGGGAGACUGGAAUUCCUGGUGUAGCGGUGAAAUGCGCAGAUAUCAGGAGGAACACCGAUGGCGAAGGCAGGUCUCUGGGCCACUACUGACG